This 253-nucleotide ribosomal RNA is filed under the name uncultured bacterium. RNAcentral describes it as "partial 16S ribosomal RNA". It matches the Rfam family "Bacterial small subunit ribosomal RNA", at positions 524 to 776 of the family's 1533-position model. The record is from RNAcentral.
UACGUAGGGUGCAAGCGUUAUCCGGAUUCACUGGGUUUAAAGGGUGCGUAGGUGGGCAGUUAAGUCAGUGGUGAAAUCUCCGGGCUUAACCCGGAAACUGCCAUUGAUACUAUCUGUCUUGAAUAUCGUGGAGGUAAGCGGAAUAUGUCAUGUAGCGGUGAAAUGCUUAGAUAUGACAUAGAACACCAAUUGCGAAGGCAGCUUACUACCCGAAUAUUGACACUGAGGCACGAAAGCGUGGGGAUCAAACAGG